This 57-nucleotide transfer RNA is filed under the name Tullbergia mixta. RNAcentral's name for it is "tRNA-Cys". Lineage: Eukaryota; Metazoa; Arthropoda; Collembola; Poduromorpha; Tullbergiidae. The record is from RNAcentral.
UAGAACAGGAUUCAAUUAUGAUAGGGGGUUGUAAAUUUCCUGGUGACUGAGCCCUGG